This 231-nucleotide unclassified non-coding RNA is filed under the name rhizosphere metagenome. Its description in RNAcentral is "partial ribosomal RNA internal transcribed spacer region". The record is from RNAcentral.
GUAGGUGAACCUGCGGAAGGAUCAUUAAUGAAAGUCUGGGCUUCGGCCCUCUCUCUUCUACACACUUGUGAAUCUACACUGUUGCUUUGGCAGGUAUCCUGAAUGGCGCAAGCUUGAAAGGUUAAACUGAAAGGUGCCUGCCAAAGACAUUUAUCCACCCUUUUUAUAUCGUCUGAUUUUUGUUUAAAACAAAUUAUAAUAAAACUUUCAACAAUGGAUCUCUUGGCUCUG